Molecule: non-coding RNA, 83 nt
Organism: Arthrobotrys conoides
Lineage: Eukaryota; Fungi; Ascomycota; Orbiliomycetes; Orbiliales; Orbiliaceae
Source: the annotation of a GenBank genome assembly
GGCUGCAUGGUGUAAUGACUAGCACAUUCCAUUUUUAAAGAUUUCAAAAAGGAGAGAUGUCGGUUCAAAUCCGACUGCGGCCC